GGGGAUUUAGCUCAGCGGCACAAGUACCUGCCUUGCAAGCAGGCGGUUGUGAGUUCAAUCCCCA
Molecule: transfer RNA, 64 nt
Filed under: Cavia porcellus (domestic guinea pig)
Lineage: Eukaryota; Metazoa; Chordata; Mammalia; Rodentia; Caviidae
Rfam family: tRNA
About the family: Transfer RNA (tRNA) molecules are approximately 80 nucleotides in length. Their secondary structure includes four short double-helical elements and three loops (D, anti-codon, and T loops). Further hydrogen bonds mediate the characteristic L-shaped molecular structure. tRNAs have two regions of fundamental functional importance: the anti-codon, which is responsible for specific mRNA codon recognition, and the 3' end, to which the tRNAs corresponding amino acid is attached (by aminoacyl-tRNA synthetases). tRNAs cope with the degeneracy of the genetic code in two manners: having more than one tRNA (with a specific anti-codon) for a particular amino acid; and 'wobble' base-pairing, i.e. permitting non-standard base-pairing at the 3rd anti-codon position.
Source: Rfam by way of RNAcentral